AGCUGGCGGCGUGCCUAUACAUGCAGUCGAGCGGAGAUUUGAAAAGCUUGCUUUUCAAAUCUUAGCGGCGGACGGGUGAGUAACACGUGGGCAACCUGCCCUUGAGACGGGGAUAACUCCGGGAAACCGGAGCUAAUACCGGAUAACACAUAUCUUCGCAUGAGGAUAUGUUAGAAGGUGGCUUUUAGCUACCACUCAAGGAUGGGCCCGCGGCGCAUUAGCUAGUUGGUGAGGUAACGGCUCACCAAGGCGACGAUGCGUAGCCGACCUGAGAGGUGAUCGGCACACUGGGACUGAGACACGGCCAGACUCCUACGGAGGCAGCAGUAGGAAUCUUCCGCAAUGACGAAAGUCUGACGGAGCACGCGCGUGAGUGAUGAAGGUUUUCGGAUCGUAAAGCUCUGUUGUUAGGGAAGAACAAGUACUGUUAAUAAGCAGGUACCUUGACGGUACCUAACCAGAAAGCCACGGUACUACGCCACGCCCGGAUCGAGGGACGCUCCGAUUUGGGAAGGCGCGGGUUCUAGUUAUGAAGCCCGCACCGGGGUUUGAUGGAAUUGGGAAAGAAGAA
Molecule: ribosomal RNA, 571 nt
Filed under: Bacillus sp. A8B
Lineage: Bacteria; Bacillati; Bacillota; Bacilli; Caryophanales; Bacillaceae
Description: bacterial SSU rRNA
Rfam family: Bacterial small subunit ribosomal RNA (bases 3-494)
Source: RNAcentral